Molecule: small RNA, 61 nt
Filed under: Lactobacillus acidophilus
Lineage: Bacteria; Bacillati; Bacillota; Bacilli; Lactobacillales; Lactobacillaceae
Description: crRNA_02
Source: RNAcentral
UGAUCCUAAAUCCGGACAACGCUUGCCACCUACGUAUUAGUUUUCUCCACGUAUGUGGAGG